This is a ribosomal RNA of Cryptomeria japonica (Japanese cedar), 3277 nucleotides long. NCBI's taxonomy places the organism in Eukaryota, Viridiplantae, Streptophyta, Pinopsida, Cupressales, Cupressaceae. The record is from RefSeq and is a predicted model, not a curated record.
UGGCAUUGGUUUGCUCAAGAAGAGUGUGGCCAAGUGUGGAACUUCAACUAGGCCAUAGUGGCUUGCCAACAUGCGGGCUUGCUUGUUGUGACUUUGCUUGUCGAAUUGUAGUCUGUAGAACGGACCAGGCUCAAGUCCCCUGGAAAGAGGCGCCAAAGAGGGUGAGAGCCCUGUUGAGCUCAGACCCUACUGCACUACGAGGCAUUCUUAGUGAGUUGGGAUGUUUGGGAAUGCAGCCUAAUCGGAUGGUAAAUUCAGUCCAAGGCUAAAUAUGGGCGAGAAAUCGAUAGCAAACAUGUACCACAAGGGAAGGAUGAAAAGGACUUUGAAAAGAGGGUUAAAGAGUGCUCGAAAUUUUAGAGAGGGAAGCGGAUGGAGGUCGGCGAUGUGCCCCAGUCGAAUGUAGAACGGCAUGAGCCAAUUUAUUGCUCAGCUUGGGGUGCAUGCCAGCGCGAGCUAUUGCAGUGGCACAAAUGUGGCCUUUUGAUCGCAUUGUACCUUAGUUGCGGCGGUUGAGGAGCGAAGUGCACGCCUACUGAGGCGAGCAAUUGCGCACUCGUCGCGUUCGUCCGACCCGUCUUGAAACACAGAUCAAGGAGCCUAACAUGUGUGCGAGAUGGCAAAUUGAGAAGCCCGCAAGGUGCAAGGAAGCUGAUUGGCGAGAUCCCCUCUCAAGGGUGCACCACUGAUUGACCCUGAUCUUUUGUGAAGGGUUCGAAUUUGAGCACACCUAUCGGGACCCAAGAGAUGGUGAACUAUGCUUGAGUAGGACGAAGCCAGAAGAAACUUUGGUGGAGGCCCACAACGAUAUUGAUGUGCAAAUCGUUUGUCUAACUUGGGUAUAGGGGCUAAAGACUAAUCCAACUGUCUAGUAGUUGGUUUCCUUCAAAGUUUCCUUUGGGAUAGAUGAAGCUCAUGUGUGAGUUCUUUCGAGUAAAGAUAAUGAUUAGAGGCAUUGGGGGUGUAAUGCCCUCGACCUAUUCACAAACUUUAAAUAGGUAAGGCGAUGUGGCUUUUCCAUUGAGCCACGCCAUGAAAUUGUGAGCUCCAUGUGGGCCAUAUUUGGUAAUAAUAACUGGUGAUGCAAGAUGAAUAGAAAUCCAAGUUACGAUGCCAAAUUGUGCACUAAUCCAAAUCCCACAAAGAGUGUUGGUUGAUUAAGACAACAAGAUGAUGGUCAUGGAAGUCAAAAUUCGCCAAGGAGUGUAACAAAUCACUUGCUGAAUCAACUAGUCUCGAAAAUGAAUGGCGUUGAAGCGCACAACCUAUACUUGGUUGUCAGAGGCAAGUGCUAGGCUUCGAUGAGUAGGGCUCGAGGUUUGUUGCAAAACCUUGGGUGUGAGCCUAAGUGGAUAUGCCCCGAUGUAGAUGUUGGUGGUAGUAGCAAAUAUUCAAAUGAAAACUUUGAAGAUUGAAGUGGGGAAAGGUUCCAUGUGAACAACACUUGGACAUAGGUUAGUCGAUCCUAAGAGAUGGGGAAGCCCUGUUUCAAGGGCACACUUUACGCGAUCAUGGAAAGGGAAUCAAGUUAAUAUUCUCGAACCAAGACAUGGGGUGGACAACAACAUUAGGAAAUCUAGAGAUGUUGGUGAGGGCCCUGGGAGGAGUUAUUCUUUAUUUUUAAUGGCCUACUUACCCUAAAAUCAGUUCUACUAGAGAUAGGGUCCAAUGACUAGAAGAGCACCACACAACAUGCGGUGUCUGGUGUGCCUUUAGCAACCCUUGAAAAUCUGAAGGACCGAGUACUGUUUAUGUCUGGUCGUACUCAUAACUGCAUUAAGUUUCCAAGGUGAAUAGCCUCUGGUCAAUAGAAGAAUAUAGGUAAGGGAAGUCGGCAAAAUGGAUCCAUAACUUUAGGAAAAGGAUUGGCUUUGAGGGUUGGACAUAGGGGUCUACUACCCAAACCCAUGGAUUGUUGGCGGCCUACCCAAGUUGCUCUCAUAGCGAGGGCAGAUUGUCGUGUGUCGAUUGGGCGAUGGAUGCAAGAUGGUCCCUUAAAGGGGCUUUCUCUAGGUGGCAAAACGCUAACUCAGAACUAGUACGGACAAGGGGAAUCUGGCUGUCUAAUUAAAACAAAGCAUUGCGAUGGUACCUACAGAUGCUGACGUAAUGUGAUUUUCAAGCGUGGGUAAACGACGGAGGUAACUAUUAAUCUCUUAAGGUAGCCAAAUGCCUCGUCAUCUAAUUAGUGACGCGCAUGAAUGGAUUAAUGAGAUUCCUGUUGUCCCUAUCUACUAUCUAGCAAAACCAUAGCCAAGGGAAUGGGCUUGGCGGAAUUAGUGGGGAAAGAAGACCCUAUUGAGCUUGACUCUAUUCUUUGUGAAAUGACUUGAGAGGUGUAGAUUAAGUGGGAGUUGUUUCGACUCAAGUGAAAUACCACUACUUUCAACAUUAUUUUAUUUAUUCUGUGACCCAGAGACGAGACAAUCCCCCUGUUUUUGGCCUUAAGGUGUGUCUAGGGGUACCGAUUGUGGUGGAAGACAUUGUCAGGUGGGGAGUUUGGUUGGGGUGGCACAUCUGUUAAAAGAUAACACAGGUGUCCUAAGAUGAGCUCAAUGGGAACAAAAACCUUGUGCGGAAUAAAAGGGUAAAAGCUCAUUUGAUUUUCAUUUUAGUAUGAUUACAAACUGUGAAAGCGUGGCCUAUUGAUACUUUAGACUUUUGGGAUUUGAAGCUAGAGGCAUCAGAAAAGUUACCACAGGGACAACUGGCUUGUGGCAGCCAAGUGUUAAUAGUGACGUUGCUUUUUGAUCCUUCGAUCUCGACUCUUAUCAUUGUGAAGCAUAAUUCACCAAGUGUUGGAUUGUUGACCCAUGAAUAGGGAAUGUGAGCUAGGUUUAAAUCGUCGUGGGACAAGUUUUAUUUAUCCUAUUGAUGAUCCACACCGCAAUAGUAAUUCAACUUAGGACAAGAGGAACCGUUGAUUCACACAUUUGGUCAUUACGCUUGGGUGAAAAGCCAGUGGCACGAAGCUAUCAUGUGUUGGAUUAUGAGUGAACACCUCUAAGUCAAAAUCCAUGCUAGAUGCAGGGCAUCUCUCUCUGGUUGCAUCACAACCUACAAUAGGGGUGCUCUUGUGCCCCCCAAGGGCUCGUGUCAUUGGCUAUCUUCAAUUGGCAUAAUGGUUUGGUUAGAGCAACCUUGGAUAACAAUUUCAAGCAGUCGACGACAAGAAUCUUUUACAUAUGACUUAAAUAAGCAAUGGGGUAUUGUAAGGGGUAGAGUGGCCCUACUGCUAUGAUCCAUUGAGAUUCAGCCCUUUGUCGCCUUGAUCCGU